GACGAACCGUGCGAACGUUAUUCGGAAUCACUGGGCUUAAAGGGCGCGUAGGCGGGCCGGUAAGUCAGGGGUGAAAUCCCACGGCCCAACCGUGGAAGUGCCUCUGAUACUGCCGGCCUCGAGGGGGAUAGGGGCAUGCGGAACUCAGGGUGGAGCGGUGAAAUGCGUAGAUAUCCUGAGGAACACCGGUGGCGAAAGCGGCGCGCUGGAUCCCUUCUGACGCUGAGGCGCGAAAGCCAGGGGAGCAAACGGG
This 253-nucleotide ribosomal RNA is filed under the name uncultured bacterium. RNAcentral describes it as "partial 16S ribosomal RNA". It matches the Rfam family "Bacterial small subunit ribosomal RNA", at positions 524 to 776 of the family's 1533-position model. The record is from RNAcentral.